GAACCUCCGGGGGCAAGAGGUUCGACUCGAGCGCAGCGAGAGAACGUUGCUUCAGCAACGGCCCGCAGGGCGAGCCACGCAGUGGCGAGUCAUCCUCUAUCACCGACCA
RNAcentral lists this small RNA (109 nucleotides) under Salmonella enterica subsp. enterica serovar Meleagridis. Its description in RNAcentral is "RtT sRNA". It matches the Rfam family "RtT RNA", at positions 26 to 130 of the family's 130-position model. Rfam says of the family: This family represents a bacterial cis-regulatory element known as RtT RNA. The exact function of RtT is unknown although it is thought that it may be involved in changing the cellular response in relation to amino acid starvation. The record is from RNAcentral. RNAcentral also lists the same sequence under 1 other name. Lineage: Bacteria; Pseudomonadati; Pseudomonadota; Gammaproteobacteria; Enterobacterales; Enterobacteriaceae.